RNAcentral lists this ribosomal RNA (868 nucleotides) under marine metagenome. RNAcentral describes it as "bacterial SSU rRNA". It matches the Rfam family "Bacterial small subunit ribosomal RNA", at positions 649 to 1516 of the family's 1533-position model. The record is from RNAcentral.
UGGUAGGGGCAGAGGGAAUUCCCGGUGUAGCGGUGAAAUGCGUAGAUAUCGGGAAGAACACCAGUGGCGAAGGCGCUCUGCUGGGCCAUUACUGACGCUCAUGGACGAAAGCCAGGGGAGCGAAAGGGAUUAGAUACCCCUGUAGUCCUGGCCGUAAACGAUGAACACUAGGUGUCGGGGGAAUCGACCCCUUCGGUGUCGUAGCCAACGCGUUAAGUGUUCCGCCUGGGGAGUACGCACGCAAGUGUGAAACUCAAAGGAAUUGACGGGGGCCCGCACAAGCGGUGGAGUAUGUGGUUUAAUUCGAUGCAACGCGAAGAACCUUACCAGGGUUUGACAUCCUGCGAAUCUCUUGGAAACGAGAGAGUGCCUUCGGGAGCGCAGUGACAGGUGGUGCAUGGCUGUCGUCAGCUCGUGUCGUGAGAUGUUGGGUUAAGUCCCGCAACGAGCGCAACCCACGUCUUUAGUUGCCAGCAUUUAGUUGGGCACUCUAGAGAGACCGCCGGUGAUAAACCGGAGGAAGGUGUGGAUGACGUCAAGUCAUCAUGCCCCUUACAUCCUGGGCUACACACGUACUACAAUGCUACGGACAAAGGGCAGCAAGUUCGCGAGGACAAGCAAAUCCCAUAAACCGUGGCUCAGUUCAGAUCGUAGGCUGCAACUCGCCUACGUGAAGGAGGAAUCGCUAGUAAUCGCAGGUCAGCAUACUGCGGUGAAUACGUUCCCGGGCCUUGUACACACCGCCCGUCACACCAUGGAAGUUGGCCACGCCCGAAGCCGUUACUCCAACCCUUGUGGAGGAGGACGUCGAAGGUGGGGCUGAUGACUGGGGUGAAGUCGUAACAAGGUAGCCGUACCGGAAGGUGCG